Molecule: ribosomal RNA, 482 nt
Filed under: uncultured bacterium
Lineage: Bacteria
Description: partial 16S ribosomal RNA
Rfam family: Bacterial small subunit ribosomal RNA
Source: RNAcentral
AUUGAACGCUGGCGGCAUGCUUUACACAUGCAAGUCGAACGGUAACAGGCCGCAAGGUGCUGACGAGUGGCGCACGGGUGAGUAAUGCAUCGGAACGUGCCCAGUCGUGGGGGAUAACUACUCGAAAGAGUAGCUAAUACCGCAUACGAUCUAUGGAUGAAAGCGGGGGACCGUAAGGCCUCGCGCGAUUGGAGCGGACGAUGUCAGAUUAGGUAGUUGGUGGGGUAAAGGCUCACCAAGCCAACGAUCUGUAGCUGGUCUGAGAGGACGACCAGCCACACUGGGACUGAGACACGGCCCAGACUCCUACGGGAGGCAGCAGUGGGGAAUUUUGGACAAUGGGCGCAAGCCUGAUCCAGCAAUGCCGCGUGCAGGAAGAAGGCCUUCGGGUUGUAAACUGCUUUUGUACGGAACGAAACGGCUCUGGUUAAUACCCGGGGCUAAUGACGGUACCGUAAGAAUAAGCACCGGCUAACUACGUG